This is a long non-coding RNA of Rhineura floridana, 1869 nucleotides long. RefSeq lists it as uncharacterized. NCBI's taxonomy places the organism in Eukaryota, Metazoa, Chordata, Lepidosauria, Squamata, Rhineuridae. The record is from RefSeq and is a predicted model, not a curated record. The transcript has 4 exons.
CUGGCCUCAGACAGAUGAACUUAAAAGCCUGUGAGUGGCUUGGGGCUCUUGCUGGAAACCAUGUUGACCCUUCGUGACUUCUUGUAGCCAGCCCGGCUGGUGAUCCAGUGUCUCCAACCCUGCCCUGCCUAAUCAGAUCUCCGGUACCAUAACACUGGACUCCCGCAGGACUCGCUCGCUUGGCUCUUCCCACCCGACGUGUCUGAAUGAAGCCUAUGGACCACUGGGGGUCAGCAGACCACAGUUUGGUGACUCCUGCCUUAAGUUAGGACUUGAGGUGCAAGAAAGCAGAGGCUCACUUGAGACUUACCUAGUGAACUCAUAACUGUGCUGAGAUUUGACUUCUUAUUUCUGCUCAAGCUGAAGAUGGACAGUGCUUCUCCACCUCCCAUCCUCCAUUUCCCUUGCUACAUCAUGUUUAGCAUAAAGCCUGUUCAGAUCUUCAAGUGGGGAAAAAAAACCCUUCUGUCUCGUUAUUUAAAAACAGUGUGGUGGUGAUGAUGAUGGAAACAGUUCUGAGCUGAAGGAAGUUGACCUGCUUGGGUCAACUAUUUUAUCCCAAUCUGCAUCUGUAGUGUAAUUGUUCUUAAGAUUUUAAAAAUAUAUGUUUUUAGUGUUUGAUCGCUUAUUGUAUGCUGCCCUGAGCUCCCUUUGGGGGGGGGUAUAAAUUUUAUAAUGAAUGAAUAAAUAAAAUAUUUUCAGAUUGAGAAAAAAGGAGCAUAAAACAGGCCCAGAUUGGAUACAUACUGCCAUCACCCACCAUCAUUUUAUUAUUCAGAUUGAGCAGUAUCAAAAUGUUAUUGAAGGAUUUCCUUGCUAGCCUGGGUCAGUUCCCCUUUAGUGUAGGCUGUCUCCCUUGCUAGUAAACACUAUUCUUUCUCUGUGUUAUCCUGUCAGUUUGUCCUCUGGGGAAGAGGGAAGGGAGCCAGUCUUAAGAGCAAAGCAUGCUAGUGAGUGGAGAUACACUUCUGUCACUGGAUCCCUUUGUUCCCCCCCACCCCCGUUUUCCUCCUGCCUUUUCUCUGUGCUGAAUUUUGAUAGCAUCUGCUGUUUCUGUAUUCUGUAGAGAAGACACUGCUCUCACUAGAGCCCUUUGUCACCCUCCUCCCUUUCCUUCUGCCUUCUCUCUGUGCUGAAUUUUGAUAGUGCCUGCUGCUUCUGUACUCUGUAGGUGGGUGGUACAUUUUGCAAUGUUGGGUGUUUAGAGUAGUUGGUCCCAGUUAUUAACCAUAAAAGUGGGUUUCCCCACUAACAGCAACACCACUCGAAAUGCCCUUUAAAUGUGAGCUCUUAGUAAAGCCUUCAGUGAUGGCGAAAAUUCCAUAUUUGGUGAUGCAACUGGAAGGAUACAUAACGCAACAGCAAUUUCUAAUCAGGGAGGGCCCCACUGGCUGCAAAACGUAUACAGACAAUUUGGGCCAAGUAUUGAGCAGUGUUGAAGAAUGCUAACUUUGAGACGUGUUCAGAAUCUACGGUUUCCAUUAUAUCAGAGAUGAGCAAGGAUGGGGUGGAAAUGCAACUCAGAAGCAUACACGGACAGUUGUCAUGAGCGUGGCAGAUGCCAAACUGCAAAAUGUCAUACUUUGACCCUGGAAGGACAAAUACCCACCAGCUAUUAUGCAAUGAUUUGAUGACCUAAACACCCUUGCUGCUUUUGAACAUAUCUUCUACAAACACCAGCUUUGUCUGGAUACAUAUUUGGAUGGCAUAUGUUGAUCUAUAUCUGUAAACUGCGUGGAUGUAUAGAUGUUUAAAUGUUCUGUUUGUGUGAGCUGACAGGGUUUCUUUCUUUUCCCCCUUUUCUCUUUUUUCUUUGUCGUCUUUUGUUUCCCCUUAAUGUAGCUGCAAUUUAAAAACCAAUUAAAAGAA